RNAcentral lists this unclassified non-coding RNA (306 nucleotides) under Mycoplasmopsis pullorum. RNAcentral's name for it is "Mycoplasma pullorum partial contains 16S ribosomal RNA, 16S-23S ribosomal RNA intergenic spacer, and 23S ribosomal RNA". Lineage: Bacteria; Bacillati; Mycoplasmatota; Mycoplasmoidales; Metamycoplasmataceae. The record is from RNAcentral.
CCUUUCUACGGAGUACAAAAACACUUUUAAGUGUUAUUAACGACUUUUACUGACUAUUAUUUUUAAAUCUGUGUUAUGUUGCUAUUGUUAAAUAGUCCGAUAGUGUAUAUCUAGUUUUGAGAGAACAAUCUCUCAAAAUGUUCUUUGAAAACUGAAUAGUAUAUUAAAUAAAAUUAAUAUAACAACGACAUCAAUUAAAACAAAUGUCUAUUUGUUUUGAUACCGAGUUAAUUAUUAAUGAAAAUUAAUAAAUAAUUUAUUAAAAUGUCUUGAAUAAACAUCAACAAUAGGAAAAUAUUGUACUUU